This 468-nucleotide ribosomal RNA is filed under the name uncultured bacterium. RNAcentral describes it as "bacterial SSU rRNA". It matches the Rfam family "Bacterial small subunit ribosomal RNA", at positions 335 to 795 of the family's 1533-position model. The record is from RNAcentral.
ACUCCUACGGGAGGCAGCAGUGAGGAAUAUUGCGCAAUGGGGGAAACCCUGACGCAGCCAUGCCGCGUGAGUGAAGAAGGCCUUCGGGUUGUAAAGCUCUUUUAGUCGGAAAGAAAGAGUUGCAAUGAAUAAUUGUGAUUUAUGACGGUACCGACAGAAAAAGCACCGGCUAACUACGUGCCAGCAGCCGCGGUAAUACGUAGGGUGCGAGCGUUAAUCGGAAUUACUGGGCGUAAAGGGUGCGCAGGCGGUCUUGCAAGUCAGAUGUGAAAGCCCCGGGCUUAACCUGGGAAUUGCGUUUGAAACUACAAGGCUAGAGUGCAGCAGAGGGGAGUGGAAUUCCAUGUGUAGCAGUGAAAUGCGUAGAGAUGUGGAAGAACACCGAUGGCGAAGGCAGCUCCCUGGGUUGACACUGACGCUCAUGCACGAAAGCGUGGGGAGCAAACAGGAUUAGAUACCCUGGUAGUC